This 476-nucleotide ribosomal RNA is filed under the name uncultured organism. Its description in RNAcentral is "partial 16S ribosomal RNA". It matches the Rfam family "Bacterial small subunit ribosomal RNA", at positions 334 to 801 of the family's 1533-position model. The record is from RNAcentral.
CACUCCUGCGGGAGGCAGCAGUGGGGAAUUUUGGACAAUGGGCGAAAGCCUGAUCCAGCAAUGCCGCGUGAGUGAAGAAGGCCUUCGGGUUGUAAAGCUCUUUUGUCAGGGAAGAAACGGUGAAAGCUAAUAUCUUUUGCUAAUGACGGUACCUGAAGAAUAAGCACCGGCUAACUACGUGCCAGCAGCCGCGGUAAUACGUAGGGUGCAAGCGUUAAUCGGAAUUACUGGGCGUAAAGCGUGCGCAGGCGGUUUUGUAAGUCUGAUGUGAAAUCCCCGGGCUCAACCUGGGAAUUGCAUUGGAGACUGCAAGGCUAGAAUCUGGCAGAGGGGGGUAGAAUUCCACGUGUAGCAGUGAAAUGCGUAGAUAUGUGGAGGAACACCGAUGGCGAAGGCAGCCCCCUGGGUCAAGAUUGACGCUCAUGCACGAAAGCGUGGGGAGCAAACAGGAUUAGAAACCCUUGUAGUCCCAUGAU